UACUGUGCCUUCAAAUUCUUAUCGUGUUGGAUUAUUUACUUUUGUUUUGCAGAAAUCGAAGAAGAUGUACUUGAAGUUUGGGUUGGGGCCAAAGAGAAAUGGCAAGGGUAAGAGCAGAAUUCUGGAUCUACAAAAUGAAGACCUCCAUCCUCUCUUCCCAGGGCUUAUUAAAGUUUUUUGAGAAGAUGAAGAGGAUCAUUUAUUGCCAAAAUACAUGGACUUGUUUGGAGUGAAGUGCUGAGGAUACUGAGGCUCGGAGGGUGAGCAAAGAGCAGGACUAAGAGUGACACUCCAGUCUUCUUGACUCUAAAGUCAGAUUUUCCCCCAUGGCUUCAUGAUGCUCUCCAAGGGUGGGACAGGAUGACUACAGCCGACUGGAGUUAGGAUUUACCUCCCUGCCCAGGUCCAUUGGGCUCUGAUAAUAUCCCGGCCAGUUAAGCUCCCAUCAACUAGUUUCUCCUGAAGUCAGUCCUUGUUUAAGAAGAACACAGAUGAUUCGGUUUAUUUUAAAAUGCUUCCUUUUCCCCUCCCCCUGCCAGAGCACCAUUUUUCUCUGAUAUUUAUUGUGGGAACCUGGUGGAGGUCUCAGACGCAAAACUUAAAGUAUUGUGGCCUCCCAUGGCUAGGUUCCUGUGGAGUCUUUAACUCUCAGAGUUGUCCACACUGAUGUCAAGCAACUUGUCAGGACAGGCCAGGCUUUUUCUUAGCGUGUUCCUGGUUCCUAGCGUGCUUUCCACGAGUGAAUCUGCUCAGGUAAGUGGCAACACCCUUUCUUGUCCUUUCCCUCCAAUCUGGGGCACAACGUUCUCUUUGCUGUCAACUUUUCUCUGGACCCAAGAAAGAUUGUUAAUGUUCCAUUCUUUUCAGCUUUGUACUUGUCUUUAGGAUGGGGCAUUGUCCAAACUCCUAAUGUGCAGAAUUGGCUUUUCUGGUUCGGUUUUUUCGUUUGCUUGUUUAUUUUUCUGUUUAGUAAUGAGGUUGUGUACUUUUCGUAUUUUAAUUGGCUAUUUGUGUAUUUAUGUUCCCCGUUUUCUACUUAAAAAAUUAUUUGGUAAGUAUUAUCUGUAAAUUUUGAAUGCUAAUUUUUCAGUGAUAGAGCUGGCAAACACAUCUUUCCAGUUGUGGCACAUCUUUCCUCCUCGUUUUUAGGUUUUUAGCCUGUCUUUUGAUGAACACGAUGGUGUUCUUAAUGUUAAUAGAGUCAAAUUCACUAAUUGUUUUCUUCAGUUUUUUUUGUUGUUGCUGUUGUUGUUAAAUCCUUUGCUACACCACGAUAAUGGAGAUCUAUUUCCGUUUGGUUAUGCAAAAAGUUUUAAGUUUGGACUUUGACACUUAAUUUUUAAAUCCAUUUAGAACUGAUUUUUGAGUGAGAUAUGAGGUAGGAAUCCGUUUUCAUUAAAAAAAUAUAUAUGGAUACCCAUUUCCAGGGCACUACCUGUUGAGUCGUUCCUCUUUUGCUCACAUAUCCCGCUGUCAAAACUGGCCUACACCAAGUGUCCUUAUAAGGAAACUUUGGUUUAAUUCAGCGCCUGCUCUUCACUUCAGCUGAU
Molecule: long non-coding RNA, 1550 nt
Organism: Acinonyx jubatus (cheetah)
Lineage: Eukaryota; Metazoa; Chordata; Mammalia; Carnivora; Felidae
Exons: 3
Source: RefSeq, a predicted model, not a curated record